GACGAACGCUGGCGGCGGGCUUAACACAUGCAAGUCGAACGGAAAGGCCCUGCUUUUGUGGGGUGCUCGAGUGGCGAACGGGUGAGUAACACGUGAGUAACCUGCCCUUGACUUUGGGAUAACUUCAGGAAACUGGGGCUAAUACCGGAUAGGAGCUCCUGCUGCAUGGUGGGGGUUGGAAAGUUUCGGCGGUUGGGGAUGGACUCGCGGCUUAUCAGCUUGUUGGUGGGGUAGUGGCUUACCAAGGCUUUGACGGGUAGCCGGCCUGAGAGGGUGACCGGCCACAUUGGGACUGAGAUCCGGCCGAGACUCCUACGGGAGGUAACAGUGGGGAAUAUUGCACAAUGGGCGGAAGCGUGAUGCAGAAACGCCGCGUGCGGGAUGACGGCUUUCUGGUUGUAAACCGAUUUCGCCUGUGACGAAGCGUGAGUGACGGUAAUGGGUAAAGAAGCACCGGCUAACUACGU
This 467-nucleotide ribosomal RNA is filed under the name uncultured bacterium. RNAcentral's name for it is "partial 16S ribosomal RNA". It matches the Rfam family "Bacterial small subunit ribosomal RNA", at positions 28 to 506 of the family's 1533-position model. The record is from RNAcentral.